UGUCCCCUGGAGUGCAGGCCACUCUAACUAUGUCCUCGAGCCUGAAUUACUUUUCGGGGGUUUCUCGCUAGCGCUGUUGUGCAUGUCCGCCUGACGGAAAGCCUGAUGCUCUUCAGAAACCACCACCUUGAACCUCUGGGUUCAGGGCUUACGUUAGAAGCGGCACUCUGGGAGGCAU
Molecule: non-coding RNA, 178 nt
Filed under: Pseudomonadales bacterium
Lineage: Bacteria; Pseudomonadati; Pseudomonadota; Gammaproteobacteria; Pseudomonadales
Description: 6S RNA
Rfam family: 6S / SsrS RNA
About the family: E. coli 6S RNA was the first non coding RNA to be sequenced, but its function was unknown until recently. It consists of 184 nucleotides that fold into an extended hairpin structure with a large single-stranded internal bulge.
Source: RNAcentral